GCACAGAGAAACUUGUUUCUUGGGUGACGAGCGGCGGACGGGUGAGUAAUGCUUGGGAACAUGCCUUUAGGUGGGGGACAACAGUUGGAAACGACUGCUAAUACCGCAUGAUGUCUACGGACCAAAGUGGGGGACCUUCGGGCCUCACGCCUAAAGAUUGGCCCAAGUGGGAUUAGCUAGUUGGUGAGGUAAUGGCUCACCAAGGCAACGAUCUCUAGCUGGUUUGAGAGGAUGAUCAGCCACACUGGAACUGAGACACGGUCCAGACUCCUACGGGAGGCAGCAGUGGGGAAUAUUGCACAAUGGGCGAAAGCCUGAUGCAGCCAUGCCGCGUGUGUGAAGAAGGCCUUCGGGUUGUAAAGCACUUUCAGUCAGGAGGAAAGGUUACGUUUUAAUAGAACGUAGCUGUGACGUUACUGACAGAAGAAGCACCGGCUAACUCCGUGCCAGCAGCCGCGGUAAUACGGAGGGUGCGAGCGUUAAUCGGAAUUACUGGGCGUAAAGCGUACGCAGGCGGUUGAUUAAGCGAGAUGUGAAAGCCCCGGGCUCAACCUGGGAACUGCAUUUUCGAACUGGUCAACUAGAGUGUG
RNAcentral lists this ribosomal RNA (590 nucleotides) under marine bacterium SIMO-4452. RNAcentral describes it as "bacterial SSU rRNA". It matches the Rfam family "Bacterial small subunit ribosomal RNA", at positions 68 to 650 of the family's 1533-position model. The record is from RNAcentral.